CCCUGUCUCAAAAAGGGAUGAGGAUGGGCCAGGGAUUUAGCUCAGUGGUUCCGGUGCCUGCCUCAAGAGCAAGGUCCAGAGUUCAAUCGCCAGUACCAAAAAAAAAAAAAAAAAAAAAGGAAUGAGGAUAUAGCUCAGUAGUAGAGCCCUUGCCUAGCAUGCAAUGGAUUGAAUGCACAGUAAAAAAUAACAUUUAAAGGAAAUAUUUUGAGGGUUAUUGGUGAAAUCCUUAAAAAGCUCAGAUGAAAAGCCCUUAUAUAACUUCACCCUGGAUAAGAUUUAACGUAGAACUGACAUGGAAGCCCAUGCCUAUAAUCAGCUUCUUAGGAGGCUGAGGAAGAGGAUUGUAAGUUCAAGUGCAACCUGGGCAACUUAGCAAUACCCUGUCUCCAAAAGAGGUAAGAACGGAGCCCAGUUAUUUUUAUAGCAUGAAAAGAUUGGAGUUUGUUGGAGAGAGUGUAAUGGUUUGUGUUUAAAUGUCCUCCUAAACGCUCCUGUAGAUGAGGUGGGACUUUCUUUUUCAGAGGUAGUUGAAUCUCGAAUGUGUUAUGCUGGGGUUAAGGGCGCGUGAUUACUAAACCACUACAUGUGAGUGAUUAGUUUGGCACCGCCCUAAUCCCCGGUAGUCUGAAUAAGAUAAAAAGAUGCUGUUAAACUUCCCUUGUUCCUUUUGCUACCUUGUACGCGCCAUGUUGUUUCUGCUCUGCGAGGCCUGUUUGUCAUCCCUGUCGUGGAGCCAGCCAACUGUGGACUGAAACCUCUACAAACUGUCUCAUCUCAGCCUGUUUUGCCCUCCUUACUU
RNAcentral lists this long non-coding RNA (802 nucleotides) under Heterocephalus glaber (naked mole-rat). RNAcentral describes it as "lncRNA (ENSHGLG00100036974.1)". Lineage: Eukaryota; Metazoa; Chordata; Mammalia; Rodentia; Bathyergidae. The record is from RNAcentral.